This is a non-coding RNA of Peromyscus maniculatus bairdii (prairie deer mouse), 1261 nucleotides long. Lineage: Eukaryota; Metazoa; Chordata; Mammalia; Rodentia; Cricetidae. The record is from RefSeq and is a predicted model, not a curated record.
ACAUUCUAUUGUAUCCUGGAGAGCUCUUGGAAUCCCCAGUGAUGUCACUAGUGUUUUGCAACACUGACUGCCUUGAUGUCAUUUGUUCAGUGACCACAAGCUUGGCCUCUAGACAUGUUAUCCAGACACAGAGGUCUGUUUGGCAGAGGGAAUGGACUGCAUGGAGAGACCAGAGUGAGGCAGAAGGAAGCUGGUCCUGGGUCUCCCUGGAAAACAUGGUCCUGUGGAAGAGGCAGGACUACUGGAGAGGCACCAUCCCAGCUCUCCACCUUUACUGAGCAGGAGCAGGAGCAAGAAAUGAGAAAAAUCGAAAAACUCACCAUUCGCUUGCAUGACAUGGAAUGUGAGAGAAACGAACUUCGUGGUAUCCUAGCCAAUUAUACUUGCAAGGAUUUGAACAACAGGCUGAACUUUGAAACAGAGAUGCUUGAAAUGGAACACAAGCAGGUGAUGUCAGCUCUCCAGAAAAUACCAUUGGAGAUGAGUGAAGCCUUGGACAAGUGCAAGGGGCUGAUGGAGGAGACUGAAUACUUUAGGAGCAAGAAAGCCUGGAUGAAAGACUGAAGGACCUGCUGAAUCAGAAGGAGCUGGUCACCCAGCAAAGGGACUUGGCAGAAAAGCUGCAACAUCACUUCAGUGUCUAUGAGAUGAGGUCAGAAAAUCUCCAGCAUGACCUGGAACAUGUCACAGCCCAGAAUGAGAGCCUCCUGCAGACAGAGCAACUGCAGCAGGAGCAGGAAGUAUCACAGGCAAGUGAGCCACCACUGCAUUCCAACCCGUGCAACCAUGGCAUUCAUGGGGACUGGGGGCUCUUGACAUUGGCUUCCAGUGUGAAUAGGCCCUGAUUUUGCCUAGCCUGUGACCCAGCCAGGAUGCCUCUGGGACUGAUUGCCUUUCCUUCUCACACAACAGCUUUGAGAGAACUGAGGAGGCCAAAGAAGCCACAGACCACUUGAACCCAUGGCGUUCUCCACCCUAGGAUGGAAGCCUCCUCAGAAGAAUACACAUUACAAAGUCCCAUGGGGCAUGGCUAUACUUACUUUGAAAAGGCCUUUUACAUUUGCGACUGCCUUCCUACCAUGUGUCCAAGGCCAGCCACAGGCUGUUGACUGUGCGUCAAAGUGUUGCAUGAUCAACCUAACCCUUUAAUCUUUUAAUUUAGCAAGCUGCUUAGCAUAAUUUUUUGUUUGUUGUUUUGUUCGGUUUUAUUAGCUUUGGGUUUUUUUGGUUUUCUUUGUUAUGGUUUAAGGUUUUGAAUUCA